CUCAGCACGUCGGCCACGUAGGCGCGGAGGUGGCCAGUAUCGUCAUCUGUGUCUGAGGAAGAGAGUCCUCAUGCAGAGGCGCCUGAUAUUCCAGGUCUGUAUCCUUCAGCUCCUGGAAGGCCGUGAGGAUCUGGAACCAAGGAGAACAAGGUGGAAGAGGGUCUGUGAAGGCAAAGAGACACUGGGAAGACCCCGCAGGAAGGGAUGGCUCCACAUCCAGAGGCCCCUGGGCUGGCGGAGCUGUGGCCAGUGGAGGCUGGGGGGGUCUCCCCAGAGGACACAAGUCGGCAGGGCUGGAAAAUGGAUGUGACAGUCGGGAGAGAGGAGGCUGCCUCUGGACUCACCCCAGGGGGAGGAGACAGGACUGCGGGAACCAGGGCUCCGGAGGGAGGGACGGAGCCGGGCCCAGAAUCCCUGGCAGAGGCUGGGAUGCAGGCAAGCCGGGGU
Balaenoptera musculus (blue whale) is the source of this 447-nucleotide long non-coding RNA. RefSeq lists it as uncharacterized. NCBI's taxonomy places the organism in Eukaryota, Metazoa, Chordata, Mammalia, Artiodactyla, Balaenopteridae. The transcript has 4 exons. The record is from RefSeq and is a predicted model, not a curated record.